Gasterosteus aculeatus aculeatus (three-spined stickleback) is the source of this 1817-nucleotide long non-coding RNA. The record is from Ensembl. NCBI's taxonomy places the organism in Eukaryota, Metazoa, Chordata, Actinopteri, Perciformes, Gasterosteidae.
AAAGUCCAACAGCUUCAAUGUAACAAACGAACACCCUCACAAUGGUCAGUACAAACACAAUAAAUAGUCAUUUGGCAUUUUACAAAUAACUAACAGUUUCAUGCCCAUUUGUAAGCGGAACCCGUAGCAGACGGUCGCUGCAGUGACGAACCAUUUUAGUUCAAACCCCGAUGCAGCAGCAGACUUGUAGAGUUUCUUCUCUAACCGGCUGCCUCUCCAGACUACGCAGGUCUCCCAGGUCUGCAGCUGCUCCGUACAAACCUCAGCGUUUGCUGUGGCGCGGCGAACAGCCCGGCUGAAUUCGGCGCCCGUCGUCCUCCCCUCUCGCGCGUGCACAGCGGCGCAUGACGUCAACAUGAAACCUCCCUUCUUUGUUUUUCUCCUGUGCAUUUUCCUUCAGACCUAAACUCCUCCUCGACUUCAGUCGCACAGAACUUUGAACUGAAAGCGACAAACGCCAUUGGAAGCCUGUGCAGGAAGCCUGCACUCAGAGAAUCGAGUUGAAGCUUCCAACGUGUGGCUGUGUUGAAGCGAGGCAGUGGGGCUGCAGAAAUCCAUCCAUUCCAAUGGAGCUUUUUAGCUCGUUUUGUUUUUGAUUCCGAUGGGAAGUCUUGAGACGUGUGCGAGCUCUGCUUCCCCCUCCAUGAUCUCCCUCAGGCUGCUGAGGACUCAACCGACUGUCAUGUUGUUGAUUCCCAGAACGCCAUUAAUUGGGAUCGGGGUUAAGUAAAUGCCACAGCAGCUCCUUUCUCUCUCCGUCAGGGCGGUGCGGUGGGUCUAGUCAAUGUGGGGGUCACGCUCGCUCCGUGAGGCAUCUGUGUUACAUAAUGCGCUGUGAGGAAGCUCCUGUUCUCCUUCAAGUGGGAAAAAGAAGCCGUGCAGUGGGACUGCAGCACUGAAAUAUCCUCUCUAACCCACCCACUGAUGCGUACCCUCGUUCAUCCUCAGCCCCCCCCAACCCUCUUCCUCCCACAAUCUUUCCUCUUCGCCUUCCUCACCCCUUCAAAUAUUCAUGUUAUGGAAGCUGAGUCCCAGAAGCUUCUUGUCCAUCCUAUUCGCAGCUGCUCACAUCUUUAAAUAUGCAAACACGUCUUCGUCCUCCAGCUGGUUUGCUUUUACCUUCUGACCUCAACUCUGUUUUUAAGAUCGGCGGCCGCCUCCCGUGGGUCCCCACUCAGCCUCACUGAUGGCAGCUUGUAGGCAGCGUGGGCACCUUUUUUGUUAAUGGUUAUGAUUUAUUUAUCAUCAACAGCCCAUUAAAAACCCAUUUGGCUCCUGCUGCAGUUGUGACUCAUUUACGGUACCAGUAAUGAGAGCGGUCCGCGCUGAUUGACGGGCGCCGUUGGUGUUCACAUGGGACUCUCCAGGUGUUCCACUUGACCCCGUCCAUGAAACCAUUAUUACCGUCAACUGACCAAACGAGCACGGGACUCCCCCAGGAGAUGUUUGUGUUCUCUUUCCUCAGCGCAGCCACCUUGAAGAACUAAGAACAACUACGUGGGAGUUCAGCUUGAAGACCCCUCACACACACACACACACACACACUGUAGUCAGACAUGGAUGUGUACUUGUGUGGUUCGUUGGCGUUUGGGUGAGUCUUUGUUGGGAUUAAGCUUUCUGUCGGAGAGACAUCUGUAAGAACAUGAGAUGAGGAUUACGUUACUAGGAGAGAGAUCCGCCGGUGAUACUUACAGCUGAAGAGUCGGCCGGCCGACAUCACAUCACAUCACUUUACAUCACAUCACAUUACAUCACUUUACAUCACAUUACAUCACUUUGCAUCACAUUACAUCACUUUACAUCACUUUACAUCACAU